UUUUGACCCUCUUUGUUUUGCUCGAUGUAGACAAUGAUGAAGGACCAGUUUGCGAACUAUGUAGUUCAGAAGAUUCUGGAAAUAAGCAACGAUAGACAGCGGGAAAUAUUACUUAAUCGAAUCAGGAUACACCUGCAUGCUCUGAAGAAAUAUACAUAUGGGAAACACAUUGUUGCUCGAUUCGAACAAUUAUCUGGUGAAGAGUGUGGGAGCUCUGAAGCUUAAUGGAUUGGGAGUAAGGAUUACGAGAACAGCUAUUUAUUUCUGACCAGCGGAAGCAUUUUGUUGCUGGUGGAGGGGACCCUUGUAAUCACCAGCUUGAUACUGCUACUAGUGGUUGGUAGCAGUAGCAGUACUAGUAAUUUUUUAUUUGGGGGAUCAAAAAAGUAGUAGUACUUGAAAACAGUACAUAUCUGUAUCCUGCGUCUCUGUCUGUAAGUUGUUAAACUAUACAAGUGUAUGCUGAUGUAUAGUGGUAAAUUAAAUGGGGGUAUUUGUUUCAGUAGUAAGCUCUCGAAACA
Molecule: non-coding RNA, 521 nt
Organism: Coffea arabica (coffee)
Lineage: Eukaryota; Viridiplantae; Streptophyta; Magnoliopsida; Gentianales; Rubiaceae
Source: RefSeq, a predicted model, not a curated record